Molecule: ribosomal RNA, 497 nt
Filed under: uncultured bacterium
Lineage: Bacteria
Description: partial 16S ribosomal RNA
Rfam family: Bacterial small subunit ribosomal RNA
Source: RNAcentral
GAUGAACGCUGGCGGCGUGCCUAAUACAUGCAAGUCGAGCGAACAGACGAGGAGCUUGCUCCUCUGACGUUAGCGGCGGACGGGUGAGUAACACGCGGAUAACCUACCUAUAAGACUGGGAUAACUUCGGGAAACCGGAGCCAAUACCGGAUAAUAUAUUGAACCGCAUGGUUCAAUAGUGAAAGACGGUUUUGCUGUCACUUAUAGAUGGAUCCGCGCCGCAUUAGCUAGUUGGUAAGGUAACGGCUUACCAAGGCAACGAUGCGUAGCCGACCUGAGAGGGUGAUCGGCCACACUGGAACUGAGACACGGUCCAGACUCCUACGGGAGGCAGCAGUAGGGAAUCUUCCGCAAUGGGCGAAAGCUUGACGGAGCAACGCCGCGUGAGUGAUGAAGGUCUUCGGAUCGUAAAACUCUGUUAUUAGGGAAGAACAAAUGUGUAAGUAACUAUGCACGUCUUGACGGUACCUAAUCAGAAAGCCACGGCUAACUACGUG